This 511-nucleotide ribosomal RNA is filed under the name Streptomyces sp. 306D03. RNAcentral's name for it is "bacterial SSU rRNA". It matches the Rfam family "Bacterial small subunit ribosomal RNA", at positions 93 to 618 of the family's 1533-position model. Lineage: Bacteria; Bacillati; Actinomycetota; Actinomycetes; Kitasatosporales; Streptomycetaceae. The record is from RNAcentral.
UAGUGGCGAACGGGUGAGUAACACGUGGGCAAUCUGCCCUGCACUCUGGGACAAGCCCUGGAAACGGGGUCUAAUACCGGAUAAUACUCCUGCACUCAUGUGUGGGGGUUAAAAGCUCCGGCGGUGCAGGAUGAGCCCGCGGCCUAUCAGCUUGUUGGUGAGGUAAUGGCUCACCAAGGCGACGACGGGUAGCCGGCCUGAGAGGGCGACCGGCCACACUGGGACUGAGACACGGCCCAGACUCCUACGGGAGGCAGCAGUGGGGAAUAUUGCACAAUGGGCGGAAGCCUGAUGCAGCGACGCCGCGUGAGGGAUGACGGCCUUCGGGUUGUAAACCUCUUUCAGCAGGGAAGAAGCGCAAGUGACGGUACCUGCAGAAGAAGCGCCGGCUAACUACGUGCCAGCAGCCGCGGUAAUACGUAGGGCGCAAGCGUUGUCCGGAAUUAUUGGGCGUAAAGAGCUCGUAGGCGGCUUGUCACGUCGGGUGUGAAAGCCCGGGGCUUAACCCCGG